RNAcentral lists this ribosomal RNA (512 nucleotides) under uncultured bacterium. RNAcentral's name for it is "partial 16S ribosomal RNA". It matches the Rfam family "Bacterial small subunit ribosomal RNA", at positions 28 to 507 of the family's 1533-position model. The record is from RNAcentral.
GAUGAACGCUGGCGGCGUGCCUAAUACAUGCAAGUCGAACGAAACUUCUUUAUCACCGAGUGCUUGCACUCACCGAUAAAGAGUUGAGUGGCGAACGGGUGAGUAACACGUGGGCAACCUGCCCAAAAGAGGGGGAUAACACUUGGAAACAGGUGCUAAUACCGCAUAACCAUAGUUACCGCAUGGUAACUAUGUAAAAGGUGGCUAUACUACCGCUUUUGGAUGGGCCCGCGGCGCAUUAGCUAGUUGGUAGGGUAAAGGCUUACCAAGGCAAUGAUGCGUUAGCCAAAUGAGAGGUUGAGUCGGCCACAUUGGGACUAGGAAAGGGCCCAAACCCCUACGGGGGGAAGCGGUGGGAAAUCUUCCACAAUGGGCAAAAGCCUGAUGGAGCAACGCCGGGUGGGGGAAGAGGGUUUUCGAUUCGAAAAACCCUUUUGUUGGGAAAAAAAGUGCGUGGGUGUAACUGUUCAGGUUUGGACGGUAUCAAACCAAAAAGCCCCUGCUAACUAGUG